This 72-nucleotide transfer RNA is filed under the name Camelus bactrianus (Bactrian camel). It matches the Rfam family "tRNA". From Rfam's summary of the family: Transfer RNA (tRNA) molecules are approximately 80 nucleotides in length. Their secondary structure includes four short double-helical elements and three loops (D, anti-codon, and T loops). Further hydrogen bonds mediate the characteristic L-shaped molecular structure. tRNAs have two regions of fundamental functional importance: the anti-codon, which is responsible for specific mRNA codon recognition, and the 3' end, to which the tRNAs corresponding amino acid is attached (by aminoacyl-tRNA synthetases). tRNAs cope with the degeneracy of the genetic code in two manners: having more than one tRNA (with a specific anti-codon) for a particular amino acid; and 'wobble' base-pairing, i.e. permitting non-standard base-pairing at the 3rd anti-codon position. The record is from Rfam by way of RNAcentral. Lineage: Eukaryota; Metazoa; Chordata; Mammalia; Artiodactyla; Camelidae. RNAcentral also lists the same sequence under 1 other name.
AGGGGUAUAGCUCAGUGGUAGAGCACAUGCUUAGCAUGCACAAGGUCCUGGGUUCAAUCCUCAGUACUUCCU